This 408-nucleotide ribosomal RNA is filed under the name uncultured bacterium. Its description in RNAcentral is "partial 16S ribosomal RNA". It matches the Rfam family "Bacterial small subunit ribosomal RNA", at positions 28 to 526 of the family's 1533-position model. The record is from RNAcentral.
GACGAACGCUGGCGGCGUGCUUAACACAUGCAAGUCGAACGAAGUGGCGGACGGGUGAGUAACGCGUAAUCAACCUGCCCUUCAGAGGGGGACAACAGUUGGAAACGACGGCUAAUACCGCAUACUGAAGGAGGGGAUUGCGUCUGAUUAGCUGGUUGGGGGGGUAACGGCCCACCAAGGCGAUGAUCAGUAGCCGGUCUUAGAGGGUGGACGGCCAAAUUGGGACCGAGAAACGGCCCAGAAUCCUAAGGGAGGCAGCCGUGGGGAAUCUUCCGCAAUGGACGGAAGGCUGACGGAGCAACGGCGCGUGAGGUAUGACGGCCUUCGGGUUGGAAAGACCUGUUAGUCGGGACGCGGUACCGGAAUAGAAAGCCACGGCUAACUACGUGCCAGCCGCCGCGGUAAUAC